Molecule: ribosomal RNA, 254 nt
Filed under: uncultured bacterium
Lineage: Bacteria
Description: partial 16S ribosomal RNA
Rfam family: Bacterial small subunit ribosomal RNA
Source: RNAcentral
UACGGGGGGAGCAAGCGUUGUUCGGAUUUACUGGGCGUAAAGGGCGCGUAGGCGGUCAGCACAAGUCAGUUGUGAAAUCUCCGGGCUUAACUCGGAAAGGUCAACUGAUACUGUGCGACUAGAGUGCGGAAGGGGCAACUGGAAUUCUUGGUGUAGCGGUGAAAUGCGUAGAUAUCAGGAAGAACACCCGUGGCUAAGGCGGCUCUCUAGUACGGUACUGACGCUGAGACGCGAAAGCGUGGGGAGCGAACAGG